UACGGUCAAUUCAUUUCGGAAGAAAACGUACAGUGUAUCAUGACCAUCACAACUCCAAGAAUUAACAUAGCUCGUCCGCCGCUAAACCCCGGAUGAUAGAAUGGAAGGUGAGCCCACUAAUACCCCUGGCUCCGGUGGCCGGACGAUUGAAGAAUGCCAGGACAUGAUUCGUAAAAGUCUCCGAACUCCAAUGGUGAAAUUUUUAAGGGAGCAUUUAGAGAAAGCAGGGUGUGGAAUAGGUGACAACUUUAUUAAGGCUGUUAAUUGUGAAAAGAAGAUGAGUGGUGGUUAUGUUAGCGGCGAUGGGAUAGUGGUGUGUAGCAAUCAUAUGAACAUGCAAGAUGAGGUCAAUCAAGUGGUUAUACAUGAGCUUAUUCAUGCUUAUGAUGACUGUCGUGCUGCAAACUUGGACUGGGCUAAUUGUGUUCAUCAUGCAUGUAGUGAGAUUCGUGCUGGCCAUUUAAGUGGAGACUGCCAUUAUAAGAGGGAAUUGCUUCGAGGUUAUAUGAAAAUAAGAGGUCAUGAACAAGAAUGUGUGAGAAGAAGAGUGAUGAAGUCAAUGAUUGCUAAUCCAUACUGCUCAGAAGCAGCUGCAAAGGACGCAAUGGAAGCUGUCUGGGAUGUCUGUUACAAUGAUACAAAGCCCUUUGACAGAGCUCCUUGAAACAUGGUUAUGACUACCAGAUUUUUUCCUUACCUGAUAUUAUAGAAGACGCUGGCUUUCAAGCGUUUGCUUCUUGGAUGUGGUGGUAUAUAUUUUAUCUCCUUUGGGUUGGGGCUCAGGAAUAAGUAUUUAUUUUAUGAACUAGAUUUUGGGUUACAAAUGCAGGUUGCCCAAUAAAACUCUGGCAGUGUUGUUGGGAAACUCCAUUGUUUGUCAGUGCUGUGAUGUGGAAGAGCAUUGUUAGAUAAGUUUAUUCAUUUGUAGAAGAGAAGCUGAUUCUUAUUAUGGACAUUGCUUACAGAAGAAAAAGAAAUGACCAUGUAUUCUUUCUGUAGAACUGCAUUUUGCAAAAGUAGACAAUGGUUUUUUUUUUUUUUUUUUUAUGAUUGGUAGAACAUGAUCUUCAGUCAUCAACAAUGGAAAAUGGGGACAUCAAGAAUUCAUUUCAAGAUCAAGGACCACGUGAUGGCCGCCGGCAGCACUUUACUCUUUUUUCGAAAAAUCAAACACUUUAGAAGCUUGGAAAGAACAAAAAGAAAACCUGGCAUGUUACAGCACAUAACCUAUUAUAUUCUUCUUUAGAAACUUUCUGCAUUAGCUAGAUUCACCUAUGAUACCUCUUUUCACUGUUAAAACCAAUACUUUCCCCGCCGUUUUAGUGGUCCUCUUCCAGUUUAUAUUCACUUAAAUUAGCCGUGGUUUAGGACGUAUAGAUGUUGCGGAAACAUUUCAAAGCCAAGUAAAGAUGGAGGUAGCUGUGCUUGUGCGGCUGAAGAUGUUAUUUUGCCUCUUGUUAUUACUUGGUCAAUCUCGAUGUUUGCUGCAAGGCCACCUUCCUCAGUUUGCAGGUGGGACGGGAUCUUGGUACCAGCAAAGGGUCGAAAGAGGAGAGAAAAUGGCGGAGCUGACACCUUCAUGGCGGUCUGAGGAUUAUUCUGUACCGCAAAGGCGAAGACACGUGCACAAUAACUUGGAUCCUUGAGUGUUUUGUGUCUUCUGUUAGCUUAAAGUUUGUUUUGGGUUGUACUGUAAAUGGUUUCUUUUUUCUUUUUUCUAAGUAAGAUCAGAAGUGGAGUAAUGAAUGAAAAAUUCUAUGAACAUGAGCCACAAACCUUUUUUAAGAAACUUUUCAUUAGUAAAUCCUAAUCUUAUAUAGAUAUGUUUUAUGAUUCCA
Molecule: RNA transcript, 1838 nt
Organism: Ricinus communis (castor bean)
Lineage: Eukaryota; Viridiplantae; Streptophyta; Magnoliopsida; Malpighiales; Euphorbiaceae
Gene name: mitochondrial inner membrane protease ATP23
Exons: 8
Source: RefSeq, a predicted model, not a curated record